RNAcentral lists this small RNA (920 nucleotides) under uncultured Solirubrobacterales bacterium. RNAcentral's name for it is "bacterial SSU rRNA". The stretch from base 1 to 490 matches the Rfam family "Bacterial small subunit ribosomal RNA", at positions 1045 to 1533 of the family's 1533-position model. The record is from RNAcentral. Lineage: Bacteria; Bacillati; Actinomycetota; Thermoleophilia; Solirubrobacterales.
AUGGCUGUCGUCAGCUCGUGUCGUGAGAUGUUGGGUUAAGUCCCGCAACGAGCGCAACCCCCGUCGCAUGUUGCCAGCAUUUAGUUGGGGACUCAUGCGAGACUGCCGGUGACAAACCGGAGGAAGGUGGGGAUGACGUCAAGUCAUCAUGCCCCUUAUGUCCAGGGCUACACACGUGCUACAUUGGCGCGUACAGAGGGCUGCAAGACCGCGAGGUGGAGCGAAUCCCUUAAAGCGCGUCUCGGUUCGGAUUGCAGGCUGAAACUCGCCUGCAUGAAGGCGGAGUUGCUAGUAAUCGCGGAUCAGCACUGCCGCGGUGAAUACGUUCCCGGGCCUUGUACACACCGCCCGUCACACCAUGGGAGUGAGCAACACCCGAAGCCGGUGGCCUAACCCGCAAGGGGGGGAGCCGUCGAAGGUGGGGCUCGUGACUGGGGUGAAGUCGUAACAAGGUAGCCGUAGCGGAAGCUGCGGCUGGAUCACCUCCUUUCUAGGGAGCCCUGAAUUAGGGCGACCGGGCGCUAGUCGUCCGGAACUAGAAUGUCGACCGGGCCUGGCAGGGCGCGCACUCGAGCAGAGCUCGGGAGGACGCGCCCGCAUGCUGUUGAGUUUUGAGAGACCGGCGCUCCGCCGGCGUCUCGAGGACCUUCGGGCUUCGAGGCUCCACGCGGAGCGUUGCGCCCUCCGCGGACCUUGAAAACUGCACAGUAGCCAAUGUAACGGGUAUCACCGAGAGGGAGCCGAAAGGCGCCCCCUCAGUUGCUCGCGUAAGCGAGCUAAAAGAUCACCGUCAAGAUAGUAAGGGCACACGGUGGAUGCCUUGGCACCAAGAGUCGAUGAAGGGCGUGAACGGCUGCGAUAAGCCGCGGUGAGGCGCUGAAUGGCCUGCGACCCGCGGAUGCCCGAAUGGGGAAACCCGG